RNAcentral lists this ribosomal RNA (274 nucleotides) under uncultured bacterium. RNAcentral's name for it is "partial 16S ribosomal RNA". It matches the Rfam family "Bacterial small subunit ribosomal RNA", at positions 523 to 796 of the family's 1533-position model. The record is from RNAcentral.
AUACGGAGGGGACUAGCGUUGUUCGGAAUUACUGGGCGUAAAGAGUUCGUAGGCGGACUGAUAAGUAAGAGGUGAAAUCCCAGGGCUCAACCCUGGAACUGCCCUUUAAACUGUCAGUCUAGAGACCGGAAGAGGUUAGGGGAAUACCUAGUGUAGAGGUGAAAUUCGUAGAUAUUAGGUGGAACACCAGUGGCGAAGGCGCCUAACUGGUCCGGUACUGACGCUGAGGAACGAAAGCGUGGGGAACAAACAGGAUUAGAAACCCUAGUAGUCC